This 497-nucleotide ribosomal RNA is filed under the name uncultured bacterium. RNAcentral's name for it is "partial 16S ribosomal RNA". It matches the Rfam family "Bacterial small subunit ribosomal RNA", at positions 28 to 506 of the family's 1533-position model. The record is from RNAcentral.
GACGAACGCUGGCGGCGUGCCUAAUACAUGCAAGUCGAGCGGACGAAUCGAAAGCUUGCUUUUGAUUCGUUAGCGGCGGACGGGUGAGUAACACGUGGGCAACCUGCCCUGUAGACGGGGAUAACACCGAGAAAUCGGUGCUAAUACCGGAUAACACGAAAUGUCGCAUGACGUUUCGUUGAAAGACGGCGCAAGCUGUCGCUACAGGAUGGGCCCGCGGCGCAUUAGCUAGUUGGUGAGGUAACGGCUCACCAAGGCGACGAUGCGUAGCCGACCUGAGAGGGUAAUCGGCCACACUGGGACUGAGACACGGCCCAGACUCCUACGGGAGGCAGCAGUAGGGAAUCUUCCGCAAUGGACGAAAGUCUGACGGAGCAACGCCGCGUGAGCGAAGAAGGCCUUCGGGUCGUAAAGCUCUGUUGUUAGGGAAGAACAAGUAACGCAGUAACUGGCGUUACCGUGACGGUACCUAACGAGAAAGCCACGGCUAACUACGU